Gossypium raimondii (Peruvian cotton) is the source of this 107-nucleotide non-coding RNA. The record is from Rfam. NCBI's taxonomy places the organism in Eukaryota, Viridiplantae, Streptophyta, Magnoliopsida, Malvales, Malvaceae.
AACCCAUGAUGAGGGCACCUUCUUAGAAGAUCCUUAAAUCUCUCCCAUGCAUCAUAUAAUGUUUUCAACUCAAUUUGAGACAAAGAAGAGCUGUCAUUCCUCAACUU